ACCAGCCAACUGACAACAUCCUCUUCUUCUUCUUUUAAUAUUGUGCUCUUACUGUAUCUCAAACACCUUCAUGAUUUAAAGACUUAAAUAAAGAAUCAAAGAGUACGUCACAUCGUUGGAUUCAUCUGCAUCUGGAAUAAACACGAGAAGAUGACUCACCAUCUUAAAUCAAGGUUACAGUAUGUCUAUAUUAAAAGUUUAACAGAGCAAUUUUAACUGUGCUGGGGUCUUUUGACUGAAUUAAUGAUAAAACUAUCCCCAUUACUUUAAAUAUAUUUACACAUCUGCUUCAUUCUUACUGUAUUGUUAGCCUCAUGUUUACUCAAAAAACAUUUCUGACAGACUGAUUAGUUGUUUUUAGUUCCUAUGUUAUUGAAUAAUUAAUCAGCCUCAAGUGUUUCUAAGAAAUGAUGAGGUCUUGAAGAUGUAUUUUUGUGAUAUUGACCAUUGAGAGACCCUCUACCUUGAGUCUGGUUCUGGUUGACCACGUCAUCUGCAGCUGGGCUCUGAUUGGUUUUCUGAGACUUUGAGGGUCUAAAAAUCCUGAGAACACAAAGGUUAAAGAUCCUGUCAAAACGUCAAACAGACAUGAGAAGAAACAUCUGCACUUUUAGGUUCUAGAGGGAGAAGCGUUUUACCGACCUGGUGACGAAUGUAUCUGAAAGAAAAAAGGCAUUUCUUGUUAAAUUGUUUAAUAUUUCUGAAUUGAUCAUUUUCUAUAAGUUUUGUAUGUCUUUGAAAAUGAUCAGGACUCACUCGUUGACUUUCUGUAGCAACACAGCAGCAGCAGGAGCAUCAGGGUUAAAAGGGGAAAAAACAGUCCAAGGACCAAUGGCAGAGGAAAGGAGGAACCUUCAGAGCUGGACACUGCCAAAAUAAAAGAACAAAAUGGUUA
Labrus bergylta (ballan wrasse) is the source of this 895-nucleotide non-coding RNA. The record is from RefSeq and is a predicted model, not a curated record. Lineage: Eukaryota; Metazoa; Chordata; Actinopteri; Labriformes; Labridae.